Molecule: long non-coding RNA, 284 nt
Organism: Protobothrops mucrosquamatus (brown spotted pit viper)
Lineage: Eukaryota; Metazoa; Chordata; Lepidosauria; Squamata; Viperidae
Exons: 3
Source: RefSeq, a predicted model, not a curated record
CACCACUAGCCUCCAUCAUGAGAGCUCACUGGAGGGAACCAGCCAGCAAAUAAAAGAGAGCUCAAGAUGAAGGGGGAAUUUCAUUAAGAUGCUGCUAUCAAUAGGAAUGUUAAUGUUGUCUGCCACUCAGAUUUAUACUAUUCUCACAGUUCAGCUGUUUGCUUUUUUAAACCUAUUGCCAGUAGAAGCUGACAUCUUAGCGUUUAAUUUUGAAAAUGCAACACAGACAUUUGAUGACUUACCAGCAAGAUUUGGUUACAGGUUACCUACUGAAGGUUUGAAGG